This 497-nucleotide ribosomal RNA is filed under the name uncultured bacterium. RNAcentral's name for it is "partial 16S ribosomal RNA". It matches the Rfam family "Bacterial small subunit ribosomal RNA", at positions 28 to 507 of the family's 1533-position model. The record is from RNAcentral.
GACGAACGCUGGCGGCGUGCCUAAUACAUGCAAGUCGAGCGAACAGACGAGGCGCUUGCUCCUCUGACGUUAGCGGCGGACGGGUGAAUAACACGUGGAUAACCUACCUAUCAGAGUGAGAUAACUUCGGGACACCGGAGCAAAUACCGUAUAAUAUAUUGAUCCGCAUGGUUCAAUAGAGAAAGACGGUUGUGCUGUAACGUAUAGAUGGAUAUGCGCUGCAUUAGCUAGUUGGUACGGUAACGGCUUAUCACGGCAACGAUGCGUAUCCGACGUGAGAGAGGGGUCGCCGACACUGGAGCGUAGACACGGUCCAUGCUCCUGAGGUAGGCAGCAGUAGGGAAUCUGCCGCAGUGGUCGAGAGCCUUACGGAGCAGCGCCGCGUGAGAUGUGAAGGUCUUCGGAGCGGAAAACUCUGUUUUUAGGGAAGAACAAAUUUGUAAGUAACUAUGCACGUCUUGACGGUAACUAGUCAGAAAGCCACGGCUAACUACGUG